This 306-nucleotide long non-coding RNA is filed under the name Manihot esculenta (cassava). Its description in RNAcentral is "long non-coding RNA (MESC_LNC000040)". The record is from RNAcentral. Lineage: Eukaryota; Viridiplantae; Streptophyta; Magnoliopsida; Malpighiales; Euphorbiaceae.
AGGUUCAUUUUACGGUGAGGCAAAUAUUUUGAGAGAUGCCCUCAACCGGAAACCACUUGACGGCUAUCCCAUCCCUUAGUAUAGUAAGAAGAAGGUCAGUAGUCAAGGAAUGAGAAGAAUCAGAACUGCUGUGAGUCAGCAGGAGAGUUAUGAAGUUGCCCGCAAAAGGUAUGUAGAGUUUCAGAAGAGAGAAGAGUUUUAUCAGAGUGCGCAGCGGAAGCAUGAGGAGGUUCUCGAAGAAGUUGAGGUUGCUGGAGGUGUCUCCUAAAGAGAGGGUGAUUCAUAAUGGGCAGGAAGGUAAAUUAG